UUCGACACACUAUCAUUAACUGAAUCCAUAGGUUAAUGAGGCGAACCGGGGGAACUGAAACAUCUAAGUACCCCGAGGAAAAGAAAUCAACCGAGAUUCCCCCAGUAGCGGCGAGCGAACGGGGAGCAGCCCAGAGCCUGAAUCAGUGUGUGUGUUAGUGGAAGCGUCUGGAAAGGCGCGCGAUACAGGGUGACAGCCCCGUACACAAAAAUGCACAUACUGUGAGCUCGAUGAGUAGGGCGGGACACGUGGUAUCCUGUCUGAAUAUGGGGGGACCAUCCUCCAAGGCUAAAUACUCCUGACUGACCGAUAGUGAACCAGUACCGUGAGGGAAAGGCGAAAAGAACCCCGGCGAGGGGAGUGAAAAAGAACCUGAAACCGUGUACGUACAAGCAGUGGGAGCACGCUUAGGCGUGUGACUGCGUACCUUUUGUAUAAUGGGUCAGCGACUUAUAUUCUGUAGCAAGGUUAACCGAAUAGGGGAGCCGAAGGGAAACCGAGUCUUAACUGGGCGUUAAGUUGCAGGGUAUAGACCCGAAACCCGGUGAUCUAGCCAUGGGCAGGUUGAAGGUUGGGUAACACUAACUGGAGGACCGAACCGACUAAUGUUGAAAAAUUAGCGGAUGACUUGUGGCUGGGGGUGAAAGGCCAAUCAAACCGGGAGAUAGCUGGUUCUCCCCGAAAGCUAUUUAGGUAGCGCCUCGUGAAUUCAUCUCCGGGGGUAGAGCACUGUUUCGGCAAGGGGGUCAUCCCGACUUACCAACCCGAUGCAAACUGCGAAUACCGGAGAAUGUUAUCACGGGAGACACACGGCGGGUGCUAACGUCCGUCGUGAAGAGGGAAACAACCCAGACCGCCAGCUAAGGUCCCAAAGUCAUGGUUAAGUGGGAAACGAUGUGGGAAGGCCCAGACAGCCAGGAUGUUGGCUUAGAAGCAGCCAUCAUUUAAAGAAAGCGUAAUAGCUCACUGGUCGAGUCGGCCUGCGCGGAAGAUGUAACGGGGCUAAACCAUGCACCGAAGCUGCGGCAGCGACGCUGAUGCGUUGUUGGGUAGGGGAGCGUUCUGUAAGCCUGUGAAGGUGUGCUGUGAGGCAUGCUGGAGGUAUCAGAAGUGCGAAUGCUGACAUAAGUAACGAUAAAGCGGGUGAAAAGCCCGCUCGCCGGAAGACCAAGGGUUCCUGUCCAAC
Molecule: ribosomal RNA, 1186 nt
Filed under: Escherichia coli
Lineage: Bacteria; Pseudomonadati; Pseudomonadota; Gammaproteobacteria; Enterobacterales; Enterobacteriaceae
Description: partial 23S ribosomal RNA
Rfam family: Bacterial large subunit ribosomal RNA
Source: RNAcentral